Molecule: unclassified non-coding RNA, 509 nt
Filed under: uncultured Glomus
Lineage: Eukaryota; Fungi; Glomeromycota; Glomeromycetes; Glomerales; Glomeraceae
Description: SSU rRNA
Rfam family: Eukaryotic small subunit ribosomal RNA
Source: RNAcentral
AGCAGCCGCGGUAAUUCCAGCUCCAAUAGCGUAUAUUAAAGUUGCUGCAGUUAAAAGCUCGUAGUUGAAUUUCGGGAUCAAUAUGUUGGUCGUGCCUCGGUACGUACUAGCUUAUUGGUUUCUCCCUUCUGACGAACCAUGAUGUCAUUUAUUUGGUGUUAUGAGGAAUCAGGACUGUUACUUUGAAAAAUUAGAGUGUUUAAAGCAGGCUCACGCUUGAAUACAUUAGCAUGGAAUAAUGAAAUAGGACGUUUGAUUCUAUUUUGUUGGUUUCUAGGAUCGACGUAAUGAUUAAUAGGGAUAGUUGGGGGCAUUAGUAUUCAAUUGUCAGAGGUGAAAUUCUUGGAUUUAUUGAAGACUAACUACUGCGAAAGCAUUUGCCAAGGAUGUUUUCAUUAAUCAAGAACGAAAGUUAGGGAUCGAAGACGAUCAGAUACCGUCGUAGUCUUAACCAUAAACUAUGCCGACUAGGGAUCGGAUGAUGUUAAUUUUUAAUGACUCAUUCGGCG